GGUGGGGUGCUCAGUGCUAAAGUGUGUGCUUAGCAUGCACGAGGUCCUGGGUUCAAUCCCCAGUACCUCCA
This 71-nucleotide transfer RNA is filed under the name Camelus bactrianus (Bactrian camel). It matches the Rfam family "tRNA". From Rfam's summary of the family: Transfer RNA (tRNA) molecules are approximately 80 nucleotides in length. Lineage: Eukaryota; Metazoa; Chordata; Mammalia; Artiodactyla; Camelidae. RNAcentral also lists the same sequence under 2 other names. The record is from Rfam by way of RNAcentral.